GACGAACGCUGGCGGCGUGCUUAACACAUGCAAGUCGAACGAUGAAGAAGAGAAACGCGAACUUCGGUUCAAAUUUCACUUCGGAUUAGUGGCAGACGGGUGAGUAACGCGUGAGCAACCUACCUCUUACAAAGGGAUAGCCUCGGGAAACCGUGAUUAAUACCAUAUGACACAUUCAUAAGGCAUCUUAAGAAUGUUAAAGCUACGGCGGUAAGAGAUGGGCUCGCGUCCCAUUAGCUAGUUGGUGAGGUAACGGCCCACCAAGGCGACGAUGGGUAACCGGCCUGAGAGGGUGAACGGUCACAUUGGAACUGAGACACGGUCCAAACUCCUACGGGAGGCAGCAGUGGGGAAUAUUGCACAAUGGAGGGAACUCUGAUGCAGCGACGCCGCGUGAGCGAUGAAGGAAUUCGUUUCGUAAAGCUCUGUUCUAUGGGAAGAAAAGGACUGUACCAUAGGAGAAAGCCCCGGCUAAAUACGCG
Molecule: ribosomal RNA, 482 nt
Filed under: uncultured bacterium
Lineage: Bacteria
Description: partial 16S ribosomal RNA
Rfam family: Bacterial small subunit ribosomal RNA
Source: RNAcentral